Molecule: ribosomal RNA, 425 nt
Filed under: uncultured bacterium
Lineage: Bacteria
Description: partial 16S ribosomal RNA
Rfam family: Bacterial small subunit ribosomal RNA
Source: RNAcentral
GUGGGGAAUCUUGCGCAAUGGGCGAAAGCCUGACGCAGCCAUGCCGCGUGAAUGAUGAAGGUCUUAGGAUUGUAAAAUUCUUUCACCGGGGACGAUAAUGACGGUACCCGGAGAAGAAGCUCCGGCUAACUUCGUGCCAGCAGCCGCGGUAAUACGAAGCGGGCUAGCGUUGCUCGGAAUUACUGGGCGUAAAGGGCGCGUAGGCGGACAGCUUAGUCAGAGGUGAAAGCCCAGGGCUCAACCUUGGAAUUGCCUUUGAUACUGGCUGUCUUGAGUUUGGGAGAGGUGAGUGGAACUCCGAGUGUAGAGGUGAAAUUCGUAGAUAUUCGGAAGAACACCAGUGGCGAAGGCGACUCACUGGCCCAAUACUGACGCUGAGGCGCGAAAGCGUGGGGAGCAAACAGGAUUAGAUACCCCUGUAGUCC